This 30-nucleotide non-coding RNA is filed under the name Mus musculus (house mouse). The record is from RNAcentral. Lineage: Eukaryota; Metazoa; Chordata; Mammalia; Rodentia; Muridae.
UGGCCACUAUUACUGCUAUCAAUUUUUCUC